This 441-nucleotide ribosomal RNA is filed under the name uncultured bacterium. RNAcentral describes it as "partial 16S ribosomal RNA". It matches the Rfam family "Bacterial small subunit ribosomal RNA", at positions 338 to 795 of the family's 1533-position model. The record is from RNAcentral.
CCUACGGGAGGCAGCAGUGGGGGAUAUUGCACAAUGGGGGGAACCCUGAUGCAGCGACGCCGCGUGGGUGAAGGAGUGCUUCGGCAUGUAAAGCCCUAUCGGCAGGGAAGAAGCAAGACGGUACCUGACUAAGAAGCCCCGGCUAACUACGUGCCAGCAGCCGCGGUAAUACGUAGGGGGCGAGCGUUAUCCGGAUUUACUGGGUGUAAAGGGAGCGUAGACGGCUGCGCAAGUCUGAAGUGAAAGCCCGGGGCUCAACCCCGGGACUGCUUUGGAAACUGUGUAGCUAGAGUGCUGGAGAGGCAAGCGGAAUUCCUAGUGUAGCGGUGAAAUGCGUAGAUAUUAGGAAGAACACCAGUGGCGAAGGCGGCUUGCUGGACAGUAACUGACGUUGAGGCUCGAAAGCGUGGGGAGCAAACAGGAUUAGAUACCCCAGUAGUC